ACUACAUGAAGCUGGAAUCGCUAGUAAUCGCAGAUCAGAAUGCUGCGGUGAAUACGUUCCCGGGUCUUGUACACACCGCCCGUCACACCAUGGGAGUCGGAAAUGCCCGAAGCCAGUGACCCAACCUUAAGGAGGGAGCUGUCGAAGGUGGAGCCGAUAACUGGGGUGAAGUCGUAACAAGGUACC
Molecule: ribosomal RNA, 186 nt
Filed under: uncultured bacterium
Lineage: Bacteria
Description: partial 16S ribosomal RNA
Rfam family: Bacterial small subunit ribosomal RNA
Source: RNAcentral